UACAGAGGCCCCUAGCGUUGUUCGGAUUUACUGGGCGUAAAGGGCGCGUAGGCGGUCGCGUGUGUGGGAUGUGAAAUCUCCGGGCUCAACCCGGAAAGUGCGUCCCAAACUGCGCGACUGGAGUUCGGGAGAGGGAAUCGGAAUGCAGGGUGUAGCGGUGAAAUGCGUUGAUAUCCUGCAGAACACCGGAGGCGAAGGCGGAUUCCUUGAACGACACUGACGCUGAGGCGCGAAAGUCGGGGGAGCAAAC
Molecule: ribosomal RNA, 250 nt
Filed under: uncultured prokaryote
Description: partial 16S ribosomal RNA
Rfam family: Bacterial small subunit ribosomal RNA
Source: RNAcentral